RNAcentral lists this long non-coding RNA (6679 nucleotides) under Homo sapiens (human). RNAcentral's name for it is "non-protein coding lnc-NMU-3:8". Lineage: Eukaryota; Metazoa; Chordata; Mammalia; Primates; Hominidae. The record is from RNAcentral.
GCUGACACCACUUGAAGAUAAGCCCGUUCCUCUCUCUGGGUCAAGCCUGCAAUACCUAAAGCUCCAGACCUGGAACCCAAAGCUCCCAUCAGUCGCUACCCUGUGAACCUGUGGAGGAUCUGAAGUACCUGUUUAAAAGGCAUCCAAAAGAUAGAAUCUAUCAAGCUACAAAUGGCUAUGUUGCCUGAAGCCCCAGACAUCAUCCUACAAGAAAUAAGUCCAGACUUCUUAAUUUCCCCCUGGAUAGAGCAGGGUAAGAGUUCUGUGGUCCCCUGUUAGGUGGGGCCAGCAGUCCCACUCAGCUGGAAGCAAGUAUAGAAGAAAGAACUUCAACCCUCAGCAACCUAUUAUGAUUUAUGGGGAUCACAUCUCUCAGAGGGAAUUGAGGCAGGAGAAUAGGGAAGGAAGUCAGAAAAUCAACCUGCAGCCUUUUCUCACCAAAACAAGCAUAAGGCACCAUCUGAUAAGGAAGCUGAAGCAAUGAACCAAUGCUUUCUGCAGUAAACAAAUCUGGUAUAACCUUUUAUUAUAAUAAGUUACUUAAAGCCCAUACAUAUGGAAUGCAUAUCAUACAUACACUUAAAAUUAUGGAAUGGCAAGCACAUGCAGGCGCACUGAGAGAGAAAACCAACAAGAAAACUGAUAUGUCAAUUAUAGGCAACCUCCUCCCUAAAAGUUAAGUAAGAGUAGUAAGGUGGUAUAAAAGAACAAAGGCUAUGUUAACCCAGGGCUGAUACCACUCGCGGAUCAGCCCAUUCUUCUCUCUGGAACAUUCUUUGCUUAAUACAUCUUGUGGGGUCAUUAUUUGUGUGUCUCCUCCAAUUCUUUGUUUGCAACACCAAGAACCUGGAAAUCCAACUUCCAAUCUGGUAACACUUCUACUCUAAAAAUGUGCUUACUCUUUGUAUAGCAUGUAACUGCUCUAUUGGUUGUACCCAUUCAUAUAUUAAUGUUUCCACUUUUUAUGCCUCCUCUGUUUUUCUCAUGCCUUAAUGAGCUGUUUUAUGGAAUUUCUAGGAGGCAAUGAGUUGAGUUCUAUAGAUGACUUUUGUACAUCUUGCACAUGUACAAUUUAACACUUUUUUGUGAACAACAGAUAUCUUUUUUGAAAAGAGGUAGUCAUAGAUUAAUAUCAUAGCAAAAUGGCUGUGCAACGGCCAUCCAGUCAAGAUUACUCUUUAGCUUCCCUUUGCCCCAAGCACAUACCAAUUAGAAAAUGUAAAAAUAAAACCCAAAAAAGAAAUGCAAAAAGGUGAGUAGGAUGAAAGCCAUUAGUGAGCUUUGUUCCAAGUGACAUGGAAGACCAGAGUCAAGGUCACUGCUGAACUUCAAGGCCUGAGGUCAGGGUCCCUGGAUGUUUUAGGCAGUUCUCACAUUGCUAUAAAGAAAUACCUGAGACUGGGUAAUUUAAAAAGAAAAGAGGUUCAACUGACUUACUAGCAAACUGAAUUCAACAACACAUUUAAAAGAUCAUUACGACCAAAUGGGAUUUACCCCAGGGAUGCAAGGAUGGUUCAACAUAUGCAAAUCAAUGUGAUACAUCACAUUAACAGAAUGAAGGACAAAAACUAUAUGAUUAUUUCAGUUGAUGCUGAAAAAGCACUUGAUAAAAUUCAAUAUCCCUUCAUGGAAACCCUCAAAGGGCCAGGCACAGUGGCUCACACCUGUAAUCCCAGCACUUUGGUAGGCUGAGGUGGGCAGAUUGCUUGAGCCCAAGAGUUGGAGACCAGCCUGCACAACAAGGUGAAAUCCCAUCUCUACAAAAAAAUACAAAAGUUAGCCAGGUGUGAUGGUACACACCUGUAGUCCCAGCUACUUGGGAAGCCGAGAUGAGAGGAUUGCUUCAGGUCAGGAGGUCAAGGCUUCAGUGAAGAGAUCACACCACUGCAUUCCAGCCUGGGCAACAAAGUGAGACCCUUUCUCAAAAAAGAAUCUCAAAAAACUGGGUAUAGAAGGAACUACCUUUACAUAAUAAAAGCCACAGCUUGUAUCAUACUAAAAGAGAGAAAAAACCUUUCCUGUAAGAUCUAGAACAUGACAAGGAUGCCCUCUUUCACCACUGUUGUUCAACAUAGUGCUGGAAGUCUUAGCUAGAGAAUUUCAGAGAAGAGAACAAAAUAAAGAGCAUUCAAAUCGGAAAUGAAGAGGUCAAAUUAUCCUUGUUUGCAGAUGAUAUGAUCUUAUAUUUGGAAAAACCUAAAGACUCCACCAAAAAAGUAUUAGAACUGAUAAAUUCAGUAAAGCUGUGUGAUACAAAAUCAACUUAUGAAAAUCAGUAGCAUUUCCACAUGCCAACAGUGAACAAUCUAAAAAAGAAUUUUAAAAGUUAUCCCACUUACAAUAGCUACAAAUAAAAUUAGAUACCUAGGAAUUACCUUAAUUAAAGAAGUGAAAGAUUGCUACAAUUCAAAACUAUAAAACAUGUGAUGAAAGAAAUUGAAGAGGACACACAAAAAUGGAAGGAUAUUCCAUGUUCAUGAAUUGGAAGAAUAAAUAUUGUUAAAAUGUCCAUAAUACUUAAAGUAAUCUAAAAUUCAGCCCCUGAUAUUCAACGUGGGUCCUUUUCUAUUUUCCCUAAGUGAUGGCCAGUCUGAGAAAUAAAGGGAAAGAGUACAAAAGAGAGAAAUUUUAAAGCUGGGUGUCCAGGGGAGACAUCACAUGUCGGCAGUUUCCAUGAUGCCCCCCAAGCUGCAAAACCAGCAAGUUUUUAUUAGUGAUUUCCAAAGGGGAGGGAGUGUACAAAUAGGGUGUGGGUCACAGAGAUCUCAUGCUUCACAAGGUAAUAAAAUAUUACAAGGCAAAUGGAGGCAGGGUGAGAUCACAGGACUGGGGUGAAAUUAAAAUUGCUAAUGAAGUUUCGGGCAUGCAUUGUCAUUGAUAACAUCUUAUCAGGAGACAGGGUUUGAGAGCAGACAACCGGUCUGAUCAAAAUUUAUUAGGUGGGAAUUUCCUCAUCCUAAUAAGCCUGGGAGCGCUACGCGAGACCGGGGCUUAUUUCUUCCCUUAUCUACAACUGUAAAAGACAGACAUUCCCAGAGCAGCCAUUUCAGAGACCUCCUCCUAGGAAUGCAUUCUCUUUCUCAGGGCUAUUUCUUGCUGAGAAAAUGAAUUCAGUGAUAUUUCUCCUAUUUGCUUUUGAAAAAAGAGAAAUAUGGCUUUGUUCUGCCCAGCUUUCAGGCAGCCAGACCUAAUGGUUGUCUCCCUUGUUCCCUGAACAUUGCUGUUAUCCUGUUCUUUUUUCAAGGUGCCCAGAUUUCAUAUUGUUUAAACAAUUUGUGCAGUUAACCCAAUCAUCACAGGGUCCUGAGGCAACAUACAUCCUCAGCUUAUGAAGAUGACAGGAUUAAGAGAUUAAAGUAAAGACAGGCAUAGGAAAUCACAAGAGUAUUGAUUGGGGAGUGAUAAAUGUCCAUGAAAUCUUCACAAUUUAUGUUCAGAGAUUGCAGUAAAGACAGGCAUAAGAAAUUGUAAAAGUAUUAAUUUGGGGAACUAAUAAAUGCCCAUGAAAUCUUCACAAUUUAUGUUCUUCUACCAUGGCUUCAGCCAGUCCCUCCGUUCGGGGUCCCUGAAUUCCCACAACACAGAUUCAAUGCAAUCUCUGUCAAAAUAUCAAUAACAUUCUGCACAGAAAUUUUUAAAAAUCCUAAAAUUGAUAUGGAACCACAAAAGACCCAGAGUAGCCAAAGCUAUCCUGAGCAAAAAGAACAAAACUGGAGGAAUCACAUUACUUGAUUUCAGAUAAUACUACAGAGGUAUAGUAACCAAAAUGGCAUAGUACUGGCAUAAAAAUAGACCAAUGGAACAGAACAGAGAAUGCAGAAACAAAUCCAUACAUCCAGAGUGAACUCAUUUUUGACAAAGGUGCCAAUAACAUGCAUUGGGGAAAGGACAGUCUCUUCAGUAAAUGGUGCUGGGAAAACUGGAUAUCCAUAUGCAGAAUGAAACUAGACCACUAUCUCUCCUCAUAUACAAAAAUCAAAUCAAAAUGGAUUAAAGACAUAUCUAACUCCUAGAACUAUGAAACUACUACAAGAAAACAUUGGGGAAACUCUCCAGGACAUUGGACUAGGCAAAGAUUUCUUGAGUAAUACUCCAAAAACACAGGCAACCAAAGCAAAAAUAUAAAAUAGGUUCACAUCAAGUUAAAAAGCUUCUGCACAGCAAAAGAAACCAUCAACAAAGAGGCAACCUGCAGAAUGGGAGAAAAUAUUUGCAAACUACCAUCUGACAAGGGAUUAAUAACAGAAACUAUAAGGAGCUCAAACAACUCUAAAGGAAAAAUAUAAUAAUCCAAUUUAAAAAAUGAGCAAAAGAUCUGAAUAGACACUUCUCAAAAGAUGACAUACAAAUGGCAGACAGGUAUAUGAAAUUGAUCAUCAGAGAAAUGCAAAUCAAAGCUACAAUGAGAUAUCAUCUCACUCCAGUUAAAAUGGUUUCUAUCCAAAAGUGAGACAAUAAUAAAUGCUGGAGAGGAUAUGGAGAAAAGGGACCCUCGUACACUAUAUUUGGGAAUGUAAAUCAGUACAACCACUGUGGAGAAGUUUGGAGAUGCCUCCAAAAACUAAAAAUAGAGCUACCAUAUGAUCUAGCAACCCCACUGCCAGGUAUAUUCCUAAAAGAAAGGAAAUCAGUAUAUCAAAGAGAUAUCUGCACUCCUAUGCUUAUUGCAGCACUAUUCAUAGUAGCCAAGAUUUGAAAGUAACCUAAAUGUUCAUCAGCAGAUGAAUGGAUAAAGAAAAUGUGGUACAUAUACACAAUGGAAUACUAUUCAGCCAUAAAAAAGAAUGAGAUUCUGUCAUUUGCAACAACAUGGAUGGAACUGGAGGCCACUGUGUUAAGAUAAGCCAGGCAGAGAAAGACAAACUUUGUAUGUUCUCACUUAUUUGUGGGAGCUAAAACUUAAAACCAUUGAACUCGUGGAGAUAGAGAGUAGAAAGAUGGUUCACUUCAAAACAAAACAAAACAAAACAAACAAAAGCAGUGAAGUAUAAGAAGGACUUGAUGAAAAAAAAGGACAUAACAAGCUGGCUUACUGGCUCAAAAAUGGAAGGGGCAGUCUGAGGGGAAUGCAAACAUCCUAGAGGGGCUGAGAGAGAGCCUGUUCACAGCCAGCAACUGUUAACUGAACCUUAGCCCUACAGCUGUAGGAAAUGAAUUCCUUACACCAAUCUGAAUGAGCAGGCCCUACCCCAGAUUCUCUUAUCUCUAGAUAAGAGCCCAGGCACUUUGAUUUAGGGAGCAGAGCCCACCUAGAGAGUUCUGACCUGCAGAACUAUGAUAUAAUACCUGUGGGUUGUUCUAAACUGCUAAGGUUGGGGUGAUUUGUUUUUGUAGCAACAGAAAAACAAAUAUAGCUGAGAAGUCAGGCUUGAAGAGAUAACAGCUAAGAAUUUUCCGGAAGUGAAUCAAGGCACAAAUCUUCCGAUAAAAGUUUGCACCAUCUAACUAAGGAGAGCAGGUUAAACAUACACAGUUAUUUCAGCUCUCUCCCUCCUUCACUCCCCUAAAACUACAAUAAAGGGCUUAUUUAUUUAUUUGACAGAGUCUUGCUCUGUCGCUCAGGCUGCAGUGCAGUGGCACAAUCUCUGCAACCUGCCUGCUCCUGGGCUCAAGUGAUUCUCCUGCCUCAGCCUCCCGAGUAGCUGGGACCACAGGAGUGUGCCACCAUGACUGGCUAAUUUUUGUAUUUUUUGUAGAGAUGGGGUUUCACCAUGUUGCCCAAGCUAGUCUCCAACUCCUGGGCUCCAGUGAGUCACCUGCCUCAGCCUCCCAAAGUGCUGGGAUUACAGGCAUGAGACACCACACCCGGCCAAUAAAGGAAUUUUUAAGGUGCUUUUUAAAAACCAUCAGGUCAAAGAGAUUGUAGAGAAGACAAUAUCAAUACAAUUUGAGGACUGCAUAGCAGAAGGACAGCUGGAAACUGACUUAGCUCAGAAAAUUUUGAAUCUCAUCCAGCAGUGGGAAAAGCUCAGGAGCAACCUAACGACUCUGUAGAAACCUCAAAAGGCACAGGUGGCACCAGGUAGCUCUGGAAGUGGAAAUGAAGUGGGGCUAAAAGCAGCAGGAUUGUCUCCGGUGGAGUGUUUCCCACCGUCUUCUGCUGUAGAGAAUCGUGAGCUGGUUCCAUGCAGUUUCACCUUAGGCAUGGGUGGAUGCUUUCCUUCCCCACCUUCACGACUUCUGCAGGUGCCCCCAGCAGGAAGGAUCCAUGGCAGGCUGAGCAAACUCUCUGGGCACAGACAGGCAUUAUUCAUGCCGGACAUCAACAAGCUCUUUUCUGGCUGCUAUCAAUGUGGUCUUCUCUAGGGAACAAUAAGAAAGAUAGAUGAUGACGCUCCUAGACACUGUGAUAGAAAUGCGUAGGCUAACUUGUCUCCCCAGACUAACCUGUCUUCCAGCAGCUCCUUGGCAUUUGCUUGCUCAGGGUGUGGGGUGUGAAAGGCAGGAAUUUCCUGGGCCAGAGCUGAUUCCAUCAGUGCAUGGCCCAGCUGAUUCCAACCUGACUUAUGCUGAUUCCAUCAGUGUAUCUGGUCCCUUCCCUACUUUUCCUCCUUGUAUUAGUUUCCUCAAGCUGCUGUUAACAAUGAUCACAAAUGGGCUGGGCACAGUGGUUCAUGCCUGAAAUCCCAGCAGUUUGGGAGGCUGAGGUGGGAGGACUGCUUAAGCCCAAGAGUUCGAG